CUAAACGACUCUCGGCAACGGAUAUCUCGGCUCUCGCAACGAUGAAGAACGUAGUGAAAUGCGAUACUUGGUGUGAAUUGCAGAAUCCCGUGAACCAUCGAGUUUUUGAACGCAAGUUGCGCCCAAAGCCUUUUGGCCGAGGGCACGCCUGCCUGGGCGUCACGCAU
This 167-nucleotide ribosomal RNA is filed under the name Melasma calycinum. RNAcentral describes it as "5.8S ribosomal RNA". It matches the Rfam family "5.8S ribosomal RNA". From Rfam's summary of the family: 5.8S ribosomal RNA (5.8S rRNA) is a component of the large subunit of the eukaryotic ribosome. It is transcribed by RNA polymerase I as part of the 45S precursor that also contains 18S and 28S rRNA. The record is from RNAcentral. Lineage: Eukaryota; Viridiplantae; Streptophyta; Magnoliopsida; Lamiales; Orobanchaceae.